UGUGAACUCGAAGAGUAGGGCGGGACACGUGGUAUCCUGUCUGAAUAUGGGGGGACCAUCCUCCAAGGCUAAAUACUCCUGACUGACCGAUAGUGAACCAGUACCGUGAGGGAAAGGCGAAAAGAACCCCGGCGAGGGGAGUGAAAAAGAACCUGAAACCGUGUACGUACAAGCAGUAGGAGCCCACUGGUUGGGUGACUGCGUACCUUUUGUAUAAUGGGUCAGCGACUUAUAUUCUGUAGCAAGGUUAACCGUAUAGGGGAGCCGCAGGGAAACCGAGUCUUAACUGGGCGUUAAGUUGCAGGGUAUAGACCCGAAACCCGGUGAUCUAGCCAUGGGCAGGUUGAAGGUUGGGUAACACUAACUGGAGGACCGAACCGACUAAUGUUGAAAAAUUAGCGGAUGACUUGUGGCUGGGGGUGAAAGGCCAAUCAAACCGGGAGAUAGCUGGUUCUCCCCGAAAGCUAUUUAGGUAGCGCCUCGUGAACUCAUCUUCGGGGGUAGAGCACUGUUUCGGCUAGGGGGUCAUCCCGACUUACCAACCCGAUGCAAACUACGAAUACCGAAGAAUGUUAUCACGGGAGACACACGGCGGGUGCUAACGUCCGUCGUGAAGAGGGAAACAACCCAGACCGCCAGCUAAGGUCCCAAAGUCAUGGUUAAGUGGGAAACGAUGUGGGAAGGCCCAGACAGCCAGGAUGUUGGCUUAGAAGCAGCCAUCAUUUAAAGAAAGCGUAAUAGCUCACUGGUCGAGUCGGCCUGCGCGGAAGAUGUAACGGGGCUAAACCAUGCACCGAAGCUGCGGCAGCGACACUAUGUGUUGUUGGGUAGGGGAGCGUUCUGUAAGCCGUUGAAGGUGGCCUGUGAGGGUUGCUGGAGGUAUCAGAAGUGCGAAUGCUGACAUAAGUAACGAUAAUGCGGGUGAAAAACCCGCACGCCGGAAGACCAAGGGUUCCUGUCCAACGUUAAUCGGGGCAGGGUGAGUCGACCCCUAAGGCGAGGCCGAAAGGCGUAGUCGAUGGGAAACAGGUUAAUAUUCCUGUACUCGGUGUUACUGCGAAGGGGGGACGGAGAAGGCUAUGUUGGCCGGGCGACGGUUGUCCCGGUUUAAGCAUGUAGGCGGAUGUUCCAGGUAAAUCCGGA
Molecule: ribosomal RNA, 1143 nt
Filed under: Klebsiella michiganensis
Lineage: Bacteria; Pseudomonadati; Pseudomonadota; Gammaproteobacteria; Enterobacterales; Enterobacteriaceae
Description: partial 23S ribosomal RNA
Rfam family: Bacterial large subunit ribosomal RNA
Source: RNAcentral